ACGCUGGCGGCGUGCCUAACACAUGCAAGUCGAGCGGCAGCGCGAGUAGUUUACUACUUGGCGGCGAGCGGCGGACGGCUGAGUAACGCGUGGGAAUUUGCCCCAAAGUGAGGAAUAACUGCCCGAAAGGGUGGCUAAUGCCGCAUAUGAUCUUCGGAUUAAAGGAUUUAUCCGCUUUGGGAGAAGCCCGCGUCGGAUUAGGUAGUUGGUGAGGUAAUGGCUCACCAAGCCGACGAUCCGUAGCUGGUCUGAAAGGAUGACCAGCCAGACUGGAACUGAGACACGGUCCAGACUCCUACGGGAGGCAGCAGUGAGGAAUCUUCCACAAUGGGCGAAAGCCUGAUGGAGCAACGCCGCGUGCAGGAUGAAGGCCUUCGGGUUGUAAACUGCUUUUAUAAGUGAGGAAUAUGACGGUAGCUUAUGAAUAAGGAUCGGCUAACUACGUGCCAGCAGCCGCGGUCAUACGUAGGAUCCGAGCGUUAUCCGGAGUGACUGGGCGUAAAGAGUUGCGUAGGCGGUUUGUUAAGUGAAUAGUGAAAUCUGGUGGCUCAACCAUACAGGCUAUUAUUCAAACUGGCAAACUCGAGAGUGGUAGAGGUCACUGGAAUUUCUUGUGUAGGAGUGAAAUCCGUAGAUAUAAGAAGGAACACCGAUGACGUAGGCAGGUGACUGGACCAUUUCUGACGCUAAGGCACGAAAGCGUGGGGAGCGAACCGGAUUAGAUACCCGGGUAGUCCACGCCGUAAACGAUGGAUACUGGCUGUUGGAGGUAUCGACCCCUUCAGUAGCGAAGCUAACGCGUUAAGUAUCCCGCCUGUGGAGUACGGUCGCAAGACUAAAACAUAAAGGAAUUGACGGGGACCCGCACAAGCGGUGGAUCGUGUUCUUUAAUUCGAUGCUAAACGAAGAACCUUAC
RNAcentral lists this ribosomal RNA (916 nucleotides) under uncultured bacterium. RNAcentral's name for it is "bacterial SSU rRNA". It matches the Rfam family "Bacterial small subunit ribosomal RNA", at positions 33 to 974 of the family's 1533-position model. The record is from RNAcentral.